RNAcentral lists this long non-coding RNA (205 nucleotides) under Daucus carota (carrot). RNAcentral's name for it is "long non-coding RNA (DCAR_LNC007130)". The record is from RNAcentral. Lineage: Eukaryota; Viridiplantae; Streptophyta; Magnoliopsida; Apiales; Apiaceae.
GUAUAUCUUCUGUAAACCCUUAGGAGACAAAACUCCUCUUGUAGAGAUCGUCUACGAGUUUAACGGGUUGGUGAACCUAAAAUCACUCGUCACGCCUACGAAAAGGAGCCUAGGAAUCGCAUCUAGUUUUCUUAGUUUAUUUUCUUUUCUUUUGAUUUUUACUCGAGGACGAGCAAAAGAUAGGUAUGGGGACGUUUGAUAGGUC